UGGGGAAUAUUGGACAAUGGGCGCAAGCCUGAUCCAGCCAUGCCGCGUGCGGGAAGAAGGCCUUCGGGUUGUAAACCGCUUUUGUCAGGGAAGAAACGCUCUGGGCUAAUACCCUGGGGUAAUGACGGUACCUGAAGAAUAAGCACCGGCUAACUACGUGCCAGCAGCCGCGGUAAUACGUAGGGUGCAAGCGUUAAUCGGAAUUACUGGGCGUAAAGCGUGCGCAGGCGGUUAUGCAAGACAGAUGUGAAAUCCCCGGGCUCAACCUGGGAACUGCAUUUGUGACUGUAUAGCUAGAGUACGGUAGAGGGGGAUGGAAUUCCGCGUGUAGCAGUGAAAUGCGUAGAUAUGCGGAGGAACACCGAUGGCGAAGGCAAUCCCCUGGACCUGUACUGACGCUCAUGCACGAAAGCGUGGGGAGCAAACAGGAUUAGAUACCCCUGUAGUCCCUGAGCGGGCUGGCAAGGCGCAU
This 472-nucleotide ribosomal RNA is filed under the name uncultured bacterium. Its description in RNAcentral is "bacterial SSU rRNA". It matches the Rfam family "Bacterial small subunit ribosomal RNA", at positions 355 to 825 of the family's 1533-position model. The record is from RNAcentral.